GAAGUCCUCUGACCAGCAGCCUGAUCACCUGGAAAUUUGUUAGAAAUGUAGGUUCCUGGGCCUCCCGAGACUGACUGCUCAGAAGUUCUGGAGGUUAAGCCUGAGUUUGGUCUUCUGUUACUUGGAACUGAAAUAAUGUGCAUUGACACACCUAACAAGUCAAAGUAUUGUCUUUUGCUGGUCUGCUCUGGUCCUGGAAACAUCCACUGAUAGAAUCACUGGUCUGGGACAAAUUGUGGUACCCAAAGACCUCAGGAAGCACUUAGAAGCAUUACUCCUGAAGUCCCAUUCGUCCCAAGAAGAGUUGCUGGCUGGAGGAGACAAUAUGUAAACAUGUCAUGACAAGAUGGUGUGCCAUCAAGUCUGAGAUAAUCUGUUAUGGCAACGUAAGAAGCUAAUACAAGAUGCAGGAGUGAAGCAGCGAGGUCUGGAAAAAAGCUAUUGCAAAAAUACAGUCUCAGCAAGGGGAUAGAAGGAGCCCUGCAUUCUCUCCUGACACGCUUGACAAAAACAAACCCAACUAGAGGUCGCCAGCAACGGAGGGGCAUCCUGUGUAAGGACUUGGAAGAGGAGUUGUAUUGUCACCCCCUGGCCACUAGAGGACUUCAUCCUAUUUCAGUGGAGGAAGGCCUGUUAGGGGCCUCUCUAUACUGGUGGAGGUUUGGUCGUCUUCCCUUCACUUGAUUUCUGCCAGUGGCCUUAUGUGAGGAUGCUUCAUGAGAUGUCAAGUAUCCGAGGAGUCUGUGACACAACCAUCCAGUGGUGAAUUGCUAAGGAGCUCCUCUCCAGCCUGCUUGACUCUGAGGUUAAAAGAGUCUUCAUGUUGAGCACAAGUCAUCUCUUUGCACUUUCACCAGUUGUGUCCAUCUGAAAAACACAGAGGUCUGUCUCACUUCUGCAUCACAGUCCCUUCCAAGAAGCUCCACAAUGGUGAACAAGAAAGCAGAUAUCCUUGCUGACUGUUGGCAGCCGUUGUGGGACCACAAAGGCACCAGCCUCAGGAGAUGGGAAGACUGAGUUGCCAGGGACGUUGCUGAGCCAUUAGAGCCAUCCUUACCCACAAGCCCACCCCACCUUGGGACUUCCUCUUGGGCAAGUCUGUGAAUCUCCAUGUUGUUGAAUCCGUUUUGAAUUGGCUUUUCUUUUUCUUGAAGCUCAAGGCAUUUUAAUUGGCAUAACCUAGCCUAUAAAAGGAAGAUUAAUUUCCUUGACCGCAAGAAAGUGGAAUUCGAAUUAGAGGGAAUGAGAUAUUGAGAUAUCUCCCUCCAUAGCCAGAGCUGCCUUGCAGUGAGUGUCCGGCUUUGGAAGCACCCCUACUAAGGCUGGGCCAUUGCAAGGGGAUUCCUUUUUUCUUUUCUUGUCUUUUUUUUUUUUUUUUCUUUAGACAGUUUUAUUCUGUUGCCCGGGCUGGAGUGCAGUGGGGCAAUUUCAGCUUACUACAACCCCUGCCUCCUGGGUUCAACCGAUUCUUCUGCCUCAGCCUCCAGAGUAGCUGGGACUGCAGGCAUGCGCCACCACGCCCGGGUAAUUUUUGUAUUUUUAGAAGACACAGAAUUUCGCCAUGUUGGCCAGGCUGGUCUCCAACUCCUGACCUCAAAUGAUCCACCUGCCUCGGCCUCCCAAAGUGCUGGAAUUACAGGCAUGAGCCACCGCACCUGGGCUGCAAGGGGAUUUCUAAGGAGAAGGGGAGACGUGGCCACUGGCAACCACACCACCAUCAAGAACAUGUCACCUUCCCAUGUUUUCCAAGUCAUAAAAGUAGUACAUGUCCAUCACAGACAAAUGGGGAGUGCAGAAAAGCACAAAGAAUAAAACAGAGACAGCAGGGUUCAGGCUUCGAGUUGUGGUGCAAUUGGCCCACAUCCACCCCACCCUCUCUUCACGCAGCAGAUGACUGGGACAUAAAGAAGCUGAUGGGGCCACUGCCACCGAAUUUCCACCUGCAGCCCUUCUCGGGGGCCACCACCAUGCUCCUCAACAGCUGUCACUGACAGGACAGAGCUUGAGGAUCUUGAGGAGCUACUGACCCUGCAGAACCGCUCUGAGACCAGGGGGAGCUUUUCCAGGUGAAACGAUUCAUGGCUAGGCUGAUUUAACUAAUGGGUUUUUCAUCAGAGUAAUACAUAUUCAGAUAUGUCCCAUGCUCAGUGAUGGCAUCAAGCAAUGUCAGGAUUAGAUGGGAAAUUAGAGGCAAUUUGCUCCAAGUGUCUACUUGUGUACCCUCCACAGACGUAUCCAUGCAAUGGUCUUCUGUCUUCUAGGAAGCUCCCAAGUUCAUUUUUUAUUCAAAGCGAACCAGGAGAGUUCUGUCUACACUCAUUUCUAUGCAUAGAACUUGACGCUUUAAAAAGACAAUGCUGAAUUCUAGUUUCCCUGCCCCUACACCAGCCCAAUCCUCUGUUCUUAUUCCCAUCUGACGGUGUCACCCAGGGCACUAACCCAGUAGUACCAGGCACCGAAUAGGCAUCCAGUAGGUGUUGAAUGUCGUAUGUAGCGGACAAGGGCCACUUUGGAAAGUCAUGUUUCAUCGCUUCACUCCUCCCUGUGAGUCUGGGUGCUCUGAAGCCCCUCUCUCGAUCCCCCCAUGAGACACACAGAAUUUAGACCCUGUCAUCAAUGUUAAAGGUCAGCUAACAUGGUUUCCAAACCAAGCAUGUGUCACCAUGUAUCACUUGGGCUUGAACCCAGGUUGGCUGAAUUAUCCAUGCAUCUAGGCAACCACCUAUACAUCCAUUCAUGCAGCUCAUGGAAAUGUUUGGAGUGCAAGCACAGUUCCAGGUGUUGUGGCAGAUACAAAGAAUAUGAUAGAGGGCCUGGUCCUGGUGGAUCCAGGAUGUUGUGGGGGAGACUGUUCUAAUGAGCCAUCUCUGUGUUGAGUUAUGUGAUAAGAGCUGUGAUAGAGAUUCUGCAAAGAAUCCGGGCCUGGGCAUUCAGGCCUGGGAUCUGCACAAGUGGGUCCUCGUGCUGCCCUUAUUUAAGGCUCAAAAGGUACCACUCUCCCAGACAUCAAUACCACUUCACUGUCAAAUUUCCCUUCCCACAAUCCUGUCCUGUGGUGGUGUGCUGGAGAGGGAGCAUUACCUCCAGUGUCCCUUAACCAUACCUAAGAAUAUAACUACACAGGCAGAUCACGAGGUCAGGAGAUCGAGACCAUCCUGGCUAACAUGGUGAAACCCCAUCUGUACUAAAAAUACAAAAAAUUAGCCGGGCGUGGUGGCGGGUGCCUGUAGUUCCAGCUACUCAGGAGGCUGAGGCAGGAGAAUCACUUGAACCCAGGAGGCGG
RNAcentral lists this long non-coding RNA (3283 nucleotides) under Homo sapiens (human). RNAcentral's name for it is "non-protein coding lnc-BNIP1-3:1". The record is from RNAcentral. Lineage: Eukaryota; Metazoa; Chordata; Mammalia; Primates; Hominidae.